GUUAAUUGAUUAUGACGUGCUUGCACUGAAUGAGAUUUUAACACGAAGUGAGUGGCGGACGGGUGAGUAACACGUGGGUAACCUGCCCAGAAGCAGGGGAUAACACCUGGAAACAGAUGCUAAUACCGUAUAACAGAGAAAACCGCCUGGUUUUCUUUUAAAAGAUGGCUCUGCUAUCACUUCUGGAUGGACCCGCGGCGCAUUAGCUAGUUGGUGAGGUAACGGCUCACCAAGGCGAUGAUGCGUAGCCGACCUGAGAGGGUAAUCGGCCACAUUGGGACUGAGACACGGCCCAGACUCCUACGGGAGGCAGCAGUAGGGAAUCUUCCACAAUGGACGCAAGUCUGAUGGAGCAACGCCGCGUGAGUGAAGAAGGGUUUCGGCUCGUAAAGCUCUGUUGUUAAAGAAGAACGUGGGUGAGAGUAACUGUUCACCCAGUGACGGUAUUUAACCAGAAAGCCACGGCUAACUACGUGCCAGCAGCCGCGGUAAUACGUAGGUGGCAAGCGUUAUCCGGAUUUAUUGGGCGUAAAGCGAGCGCAGGCGGUCUUUUAAGUCUAAUGUGAAAGCCUUCGGCUCAACCGAAGAAGUGCAUUGGAAACUGGGAGACUUGAGUGCAGAAGAGGACAGUGGAACUCCAUGUGUAGCGGUGAAAUGCGUAGAUAUAUGGAAGAACACCAGUGGCGAAGGCGGCUGUCUGGUCUGUAACUGACGCUGAGGCUCGAAAGCAUGGGUAGCGAACAGGAUUAGAUACCCUGGUAGUCCAUGCCGUAAACGAUGAUUACUAAGUGUUGGAGGGUUUCCGCCCUUCAGUGCUGCAGCUAACGCAUUAAGUAAUCCGCCUGGGGAGUACGACCGCAAGGUUGAAACUCAAAAGAAUUGACGGGGGCCCGCACAAGCGGUGGAGCAUGUGGUUUAAUUCGAAGCUACGCGAAGAACCUUACCAGGUCUUGACAUCUUCUGCCAACCUAAGAGAUUAGGCGUUCCCUUCGGGGACAGAAUGACAGGUGGUGCAUGGUUGUCGUCAGCUCGUGUCGUGAGAUGUUGGGUUAAGUCCCGCAACGAGCGCAACCCUUAUUACUAGUUGCCAGCAUUCAGUUGGGCACUCUAGUGAGACUGCCGGUGACAAACCGGAGGAAGGUGGGGACGACGUCAAAUCAUCAUGCCCCUUAUGACCUGGGCUACACACGUGCUACAAUGGAUGGUACAACGAGUCGCGAAACCGCGAGGUUUAGCUAAUCUCUUAAAACCAUUCUCAGUUCGGACUGUAGGCUGCAACUCGCCUACACGAAGUCGGAAUCGCUAGUAAUCGCGGAUCAGCAUGCCGCGGUGAAUACGUUCCCGGGCCUUGUACACACCGCCCGUCACACCAUGAGAGUUUGUAACACCCAAAGCCGGUGGGGUANCCUUUUAGGAGCUAGC
This 1422-nucleotide ribosomal RNA is filed under the name Pediococcus acidilactici. Its description in RNAcentral is "bacterial SSU rRNA". It matches the Rfam family "Bacterial small subunit ribosomal RNA". Lineage: Bacteria; Bacillati; Bacillota; Bacilli; Lactobacillales; Lactobacillaceae. The record is from RNAcentral.